Molecule: ribosomal RNA, 440 nt
Filed under: uncultured bacterium
Lineage: Bacteria
Description: partial 16S ribosomal RNA
Rfam family: Bacterial small subunit ribosomal RNA
Source: RNAcentral
CCUACGGGAGGCAGCAGUAGGGAAUCUUGGGCAAUGGACGAAAGUCUGAAGGAGCAACGCCGCGUGAGGGAUGAAGGUUUUCGGAUUGUAAAACUCUUUUGUUAGAGACGAACAUGGCGGUUAGUAACGGAUAAUCCCCGGCCGACAUCGUACCAGCAGCCGGGGUCAUACGGCGUGUGAACGCGUUCCGCGGAAUCACUGGGCGGAAAGUGGGCGGAGGCGGGUUCGCAAGUCAGAUGGGAAAUCCUCUGGCUUAACCGGAGAACGUAAUUUGAGCCUGGGCUUCUAGAGUUAGGGAGAGGUAGGUGGAAUUCCUGGUGUAGCGGUGAAAUGCGUAGAGAUCAAGAGGAACACUAAUGGCGAAGGCGACCUGCUAGACCAUAACUGACGCUGAGGCUCGAAAGCGUGGGGAGCAAACAGGAUUAGAUACCCGAGUAGUC